AGGGGGCCGGGAUUCGCAGAGCCUGGCAGCUGCCGCCCCUGGGGGCUCCGGCUGGCGCAUACCCGCCGCAGCUGCAGGUGCCAGGUGCAGCAAUGGUGCACGGCGGGGAGCAGGUGCCGCAGGGCCAUCUCCAUUUGCCGCAUGUGUGGAUAGACCGUCAGGUGCAGCAACGGAAGGGACAGGAUGAUGCGGAGGAUCAUCAAUCUGAAAGCGGCUGACAACAUUGUGAGCCACCACCCCAAAAAAAAAAAAACGGUUAAAAUUCACCAUGCCGUGUCGAUUUUCCGUUACUACUCCGGGCUGAAAGCUGGCCUCUGGAUUCUGGUUACGUCUUUUCGAUAUGCAGUCG
This 349-nucleotide long non-coding RNA is filed under the name Hordeum vulgare. RNAcentral's name for it is "long non-coding RNA (HVUL_LNC020445)". The record is from RNAcentral. Lineage: Eukaryota; Viridiplantae; Streptophyta; Magnoliopsida; Poales; Poaceae.